UGGGGGAUAUUGCACAAUGGGCGAAAGCCUGAUGCAGCGACGCCGCGUGGGGGAUGAAGGCCUUCGGGUUGUAAACUUCUUUUGCUCUGAACAAGGCAUGCUUUUGGGGUGUGCUGAGUGUAGGGGUUGAUUAGCGCCGGCUAACUACGUGCCAGCAGCCGCGGUAAUACGUAGGGCGCGAGCGUUGUCCGGAAUUAUUGGGCGUAAAGGGCUUGUAGGUGGCUGGUUGCGUCUGUCGUGAAAGCUCAUGGCUUAACUGUGGGUUUGCGGUGGGUACGGGCUGGCUUGAGUGCAGUAGGGGAGGCUGGAAUUCCUGGUGUAGCGGUGGAAUGCGCAGAUAUCAGGAGGAAUACCGGUGGCGAAGGCGGGUCUCUGGGCUGUUACUGACGCUGAGGAGCGAAAGCGUGGGGAGCGAACAGG
RNAcentral lists this ribosomal RNA (420 nucleotides) under Fusobacteriota bacterium. RNAcentral describes it as "Fusobacteria bacterium partial 16S ribosomal RNA". It matches the Rfam family "Bacterial small subunit ribosomal RNA", at positions 355 to 776 of the family's 1533-position model. Lineage: Bacteria; Fusobacteriati; Fusobacteriota. The record is from RNAcentral.